Molecule: long non-coding RNA, 379 nt
Filed under: Bos taurus (domestic cattle)
Lineage: Eukaryota; Metazoa; Chordata; Mammalia; Artiodactyla; Bovidae
Description: long non-coding RNA NONBTAT007112
Source: RNAcentral
UCUCGUGACUUCUGCUUUGGCUUCUACCUUUGGUUUGAUUUUAUGUUACUCUUUGUUAGGCCAGUUCCCAGCCACCCUUGAGUCCAAGGGUGUGCAGGUUUCUUUAUACAGAAAUGAUGUGCAGGCAGCAUCCAGUCCUCUUUCCUGAUGUUACCUUGACUCGUUUUGCAAAGCAGACAAGUUCCCAAGUGUGGGUGCCCUGUGCCAAUUAGAGCUGUCUUGCCAACUCAAUGAGUGGCCCCGUCGGCAGCCAGCCCUGAAGGUGGCCAGCACACAGCUAGCAGAGGUCCCGAGGUCAUCUAAGCACCAGCACCACUCAGUGGGGCUCUGAAUCUCACAGAUCCCCCCUGCCUGAGCUGUCCUGCCAACUCAGCACAGC